UGAACGCCUCUAAGGCCGAAGCCAGCCUAU
Molecule: small RNA, 30 nt
Filed under: Bombyx mori (domestic silkworm)
Lineage: Eukaryota; Metazoa; Arthropoda; Insecta; Lepidoptera; Bombycidae
Description: ovarian small RNA-7935
Source: RNAcentral